CGUGUAGGCGGCCAGGUAGGUCUGCUGUGAAAACUCGAGGCUCAACCUCGAGAUGUCGGCGGAAACCAUCUGGCUAGAGUCCGGAAGAGGAGAAUGGAAUUCCCGGUGUAGCGGUGAAAUGCGCAGAUAUCGGGAAGAACACCCGUGGCGAAGGCGGUUCUCUGGGACGGUACUGACGCUGAGACGCGAAAGCGUGGGGAGCGAACA
Molecule: ribosomal RNA, 207 nt
Filed under: uncultured bacterium
Lineage: Bacteria
Description: partial 16S ribosomal RNA
Rfam family: Bacterial small subunit ribosomal RNA
Source: RNAcentral